RNAcentral lists this ribosomal RNA (484 nucleotides) under uncultured bacterium. RNAcentral's name for it is "partial 16S ribosomal RNA". It matches the Rfam family "Bacterial small subunit ribosomal RNA", at positions 30 to 507 of the family's 1533-position model. The record is from RNAcentral.
AUUGAACGCUGGCGGCGUGCCUAACACAUGCAAGUCGAGCGGACGAAGGGAGCUUGCUCCUGUCUUCAGUGGCGGACGGGUGGGUAAUUCCUAGGAGUCUGCCUUGUAUUUGGGGCUAACGUCCGUACGCGGGCGCUAAGCCCGCAUACGUCCUGAUGUUGAAAGUGAGGGAUCUUCGGACCUCACGCUAUUUGAUGAGCCUAGGUCGGAUUAGCUAGUUGGUUGGGUAAAGGCCUACCAAGGCGACGAUCCGUAACUGGUCUGAGAGGAUGAUCAGUCACACUGGAACUGAGACACGGUCCAGACUCCUACGGGAGGCAGCAGUAGGGAAUCUUGGACAAUGGGCGAAAGCCUGAUGCAGCAAUGCCGCGUGAGUGAAGAAGGUCUUCGGAUUGUAAAGCACUUUAAGUAGGGAGGAAGGACAGUGAGAUAAACCAUUGACGUCUUGACGGUACCAAAAGAGAAAGCCACGGCUAACUUCGUG